AAAAUUAUAACCCUGCACGCUGACUUGUAUGCUAUUAUCAUAGCCUGGCUGCUCCUGCGUUGAGGGACUUCGCCCCCGGGAUCGCUGACUGUCUGUGAAUGACAAAUCCAAAGUCAGGGGUUGCAGAGUCAGCCGGACUUGCCUGCUCUCGUGCAGCAGCGGGAGAAAACAGAAUGAAAGAUUCUGAAAAUAAAGGUAAGGGGCUGACAUCAGAGGGGCGGCUGGUAGACGCUUGGGGGAGAUGUCACGACGUGAAUGUGCUUAGUUUGUGCUGAUGGCUGGCUGCUUUGAUUACUGAUGUAUCUUCGUAAUUUUUAGUUAUGUAAUAUAUGUCCUCUUUAAGUGACUGUUUUCUAAAUACCAUGUCAUUCAGUUUUCCAUUUUUUUUGCGUUACUAAAAAUAUAUUUUUAUUCUUUAUUUAAUCUUGGCCAAGUACACAUAUCUCACAGUUUUCUUUAUAAUCGCUUCCAGAAUUUUGAUACUUUUAUUUUGGGAGUGUUUAUAAUUGUUAAUUAUUAAAAUGUACGGUUUCAGCCAAUUAUUGGAAUAGCUGGAGAUCGUGGUUCUUAAAACAGUUCGGGUUUUCUAGAGAGGCAUUGACUGAGAAUAUCCAGAUGAACGUUCGUUCAUCUUCUUUGGGAGGGCUCAGCAGGGAGUCGUAGUCGCUGACCUUCAGAACUGUUUACCUUGCACAGGGAUGUUCUGUUGCAAACUCCCCCUGCUCCCCGCCCCCCACCCCUCACUGCCUUUAAAAAAAGAAAAAAAAAAAAAAACCCACCAGCAUGAAUUCUGUUGGAGGGGAGGGCAAGGACAGAAACAGAUUGACGUGAAAGCCCCCCAACCAAGGACUCUGGAGGAUUUCGGGGUUCACCGCCGGGGCCCUGGGAAAUUUCUGCCGCAGCGGGGGGAGGGGCAACAGCCCCCAGCUCGCCCCAGCACACACGUGGUUCAGGGUCGCACUUCUUUCUGCAUCCUUGAUUCUCUAGAUCCUGGUGCCUGCCGAGGGGCCGACAUCUCCGCAGCCUGGAGCUCAGGCCGUGCUUCUCCGCAGCUGCUCAGUUUGCUCGCGCCGCCGAAGCUUCCUGGGGCCUUGUGGUUUCCCCUUGGCAGGGCAGGUGCGCAGGUGCAGGCCGGUGGUGCCAGGUGACCGCUCGUCCCAGCCCCUGCCUGCCUGCAUGCCCCGUAGCAGGUGUGGCCUUCCCCACAGGAGUCUGACCUCUGGUUGUUAAAAGAUUUCUACCUGGUGAUGGACAGCGGUAUAUGCACCCAUAAACACCCGAGCAAAGAGUGAUCAUGAGUCUUUUACAGUGUGAUGGAUGCCAGGGGCGAGGCUGGCUUUCCAGUCUACCAGAAGCAACGCAGUGUCUUAAUGGAUCCGGGGUUUCUCUGAUCGCGCCUUAAAAGUGACUGGGUGGGGCCUGGGGUUGUUGGCACCAUCAGCUCAGAGGCUUUGGACCCUUCACAUUCACGCAUUGAGCCAUGUGGUUUUGGUGCUUAAAUUUUAAUUAAGCAGUUCCAGGGAGGAAGAAACAGCUGUGUGAGGCCGGGCUGAAAGCAUAGAGGACAGUUCUCUUCUGUCUCCUAGCCAGCCGCCACUCAUGGACAAAUAACUCCUAUGUGGCCAAACUAUUCAAAAUCAGUUUCCGAAGAGGGCACUUCCUUGCUGUUUGCAGGGGCUAGAGAAAGGGUUAAUGCAGAAAGAGGGGAAAAAUGCCUAUUUGUCAAGUCAUGCUAGGCCAUGGACAUGGCUUAGAAACAAUUAAAGCUGUCUGAAUCACAGGCUCAGGCCCGGCUCAUUUAAGCUUCAGGUCUACUGACCUUUUUAAUGGGAGCUGGUAUUUGGAAUUUUUGUAUUGCUCUGUGUUGGAAAGAGCCGCGGGCUGUCAAUCCAAACAGGCAGGUUCUGACUUGUUCAGCCAUCUCUCCUUAGAAACCGGGACAAGACUGUUGAUUUUCUUGGGUCUCAGUUUAUCUCCUGAAUGGCGUGAUAUUAGAUGACAUUAAUGCUUUUUCAGAUCGUGAGGGAUUUGGGUAUAUCGGGAGCAACAUUUCAGACAGGCACAGUAGAAAAAAGUUCAUCUUAGAAACUAUUGAACGUAUGUGAGUAACUUGUUUUUGAAGCUGUUGGUAUGUGCAGACAUGUGGGCUGUAUUCUGUUAUCAAGACUAUGUUCUUUGAGUCCUAACCAAAACACACCGAAGAAUGAUGAAACAAGCCAUAACAGGUUUCAUUUUGAAAGAGUCUGUGAAAUGCAAGCAUACAUGUGCAUCCAACCAUAUAUGUGCUAUUGAAAGAAAGAUGAAGUCAGCAAUUGCCCUCUGAUUUACAAAGAUGUCUGAGAAUCCAAACAGGUCACGAGUUAAUGUAUAUCUAGGGUCCCCUGAGAGGCUUUCAGGCCAAUUUCUUGCUGUGCUGGGAGAUGUGUCUAUGUUGAGGAGUGGAUAAGAGUGUGUGUGAUAUCAUGUAUGAGGUGCAUGUAUGUGCACACAGACACGAGAAUGCAUUCAGAGAGAGUAUGAACACGUCCACCAGACCAGGAGAGCUAUUUUUGGGAAGCAAAGCACCAGUUGUUGACCUGAAUAUGAAAUAAAUGU
Molecule: long non-coding RNA, 2595 nt
Filed under: Mus musculus (house mouse)
Lineage: Eukaryota; Metazoa; Chordata; Mammalia; Rodentia; Muridae
Description: long non-coding RNA chr4:101507987-101510582
Source: RNAcentral